GACGAACGCUGGCGGCGUGCUUAACACAUGCAAGUCGAACGGAAAGGCCCUGCUUUUGUGGUGUGCUCGAGUGGCGAACGGGUGAGUAACACGUGAGUAACCUGCCCUUGACUUUGGGAUAACUUCAGGAAACUGGGGCUACUACCGGAUAGGAUCUCCUGCUGCAUGGUGGGGGUUGGAAAGUUUCGGCGGUUGGGGAUGGACUCGCGGCUUAUCAGCUUGUUGGUGGGGUAGUGGCUUACCAAGGCUUUGACGGGUAGCCGGCCUGAGAGGGUGACCGGCCACAUUGGGACUGAGAGACGGACCAGACUCGUACGGGAGGCAGCAGUGGGGAAUAUGGCACAAUGGGCGGAAGCCUGAGGCAGCAACGCCGCGUGCGGGAUGACGGCCUGCGGGGUGUAAACCGCUGUCGCCUGUGACGAAGCGGGAGUGACGGUAAUGGGUAAAGAAGCACCGGCUAACUACGUG
Molecule: ribosomal RNA, 468 nt
Filed under: uncultured bacterium
Lineage: Bacteria
Description: partial 16S ribosomal RNA
Rfam family: Bacterial small subunit ribosomal RNA
Source: RNAcentral